This 246-nucleotide ribosomal RNA is filed under the name uncultured crenarchaeote. RNAcentral describes it as "partial 16S ribosomal RNA". It matches the Rfam family "Archaeal small subunit ribosomal RNA", at positions 478 to 725 of the family's 1478-position model. The record is from RNAcentral. Lineage: Archaea; Thermoproteati; Thermoproteota.
AGCACCUCAAGUGGUCAGGAUGAUUAUUGGGCCUAAAGCAUCCGUAGCUCGUUUUGUAAGUUUUCGGUUAAAUCCAUGCGCUUAACGUAUGGGCUGCCGGGAAUACUGCAUACUAGGAAGUGGGAGAGGUAGACGGUACUCGGUAGGAAGGGGUAAAAUCCUUUGAUCUAUUGAUGACCACCUGUGGCGAAGGCGGUCUACCAGAACACGUUCGACGGUGAGGGAUGAAAGCUGGGGGAGCAAACC